Molecule: long non-coding RNA, 373 nt
Organism: Oncorhynchus tshawytscha (Chinook salmon)
Lineage: Eukaryota; Metazoa; Chordata; Actinopteri; Salmoniformes; Salmonidae
Source: Ensembl
CAGAGACAACUGCUGCUGCACCGCUCAUGUAAUUCUGGAAAAAUCACCGGGCCAGUCCGCCUGCAUUACUCAUAGCACAGUGGUCUGUGUCAUCUCCGCCCCCUGGCCAAGGGGUCAUCCUGAUCUCUGAACCCCCACUCCUCACCCUCCUCCCACCAGCCUGACCCAGCGACCACCCCACCUUGCACCCAACCAAGCGGACCGAAGACCCUUAAACAGUGCCAGGCUCAAUCACCACCUCAAGUCCUCUGAGAUCACGCAGGUCUUAAGUGAAGAUUCUUUUGGAAGUUGUAAAAAGAGAGAAAUCAAGAAGCACUUUUUUUUAAGACCGAUCACGAAAAGAUCUUCAUACAUUUAAUGAAUUGGACAGAAA